RNAcentral lists this ribosomal RNA (492 nucleotides) under uncultured bacterium. Its description in RNAcentral is "partial 16S ribosomal RNA". It matches the Rfam family "Bacterial small subunit ribosomal RNA", at positions 29 to 507 of the family's 1533-position model. The record is from RNAcentral.
AGUGAACGCUGGCGGUAGGCCUAACACAUGCAAGUCGAACGGCAGCACAGUAAGAGCUUGCUCUUACGGGUGGCGAGUGGCGGACGGGUGAGGAAUACAUCGGAAUCUACUUUUUCGUGGGGGAUAACGUAGGGAAACUUACGCUAAUACCGCAUACGACCUACGGGUGAAAGCAGGGGAUCUUCGGACCUUGCGCGAUUGAAUGAGCCGAUGUCGGAUUAGCUAGUUGGCGGGGUAAAGGCCCACCAAGGCGACGAUCCGUAGCUGGUCUGAGAGGAUGAUCAGCCACAGUGGAAAUGAGACACGGUCCAGACUCCUACGGGAGGCAGCAGUGGGGAAUAUUGGACAAUGGGCGAAAGCCUGAUCCAGCCAUACCGCGUGGGUGAAGAAGGCCUUCGGGUUGUAAAGCCCUUUUGUUGGGAAAGAAAAGCAGCAGGUUAAUACCCCGCUGUUCUGACGGUACCCAAAGAAUAAGCACCGGCUAACUUCGUG